Molecule: ribosomal RNA, 1033 nt
Filed under: Pleurostoma richardsiae
Lineage: Eukaryota; Fungi; Ascomycota; Sordariomycetes; Calosphaeriales; Pleurostomataceae
Description: SSU rRNA
Rfam family: Eukaryotic small subunit ribosomal RNA
Source: RNAcentral
UUAAACAGCGAAACUGCGGACGGCUCAUUAAAUCAGUUAUCGUUUAUUUGAUAGCACCUACUACAUGGAUAACUGUGGUAAUUCUAGAGCUAAUACAUGCUAAAAAUCCCGACUUCGGAAGGGAUGUAUUUAUUAGAUUAAAAACCAAUGCCCUUCGGGGCUCUCUGGUGAUUCAUAAUAACUGCUCGAAUCGCAUGGCCUUGCGCCGGCGAUGGCUCAUUCAAAUUUCUGCCCUAUCAACUUUCGACGGCUGGGUCUUGGCCAGCCAUGGUGACAACGGGUAACGGAGGGUUAGGGCUCGACCCCGGAGAAGGAGCCUGAGAGACGGCUACUACAUCCAAGGAAGGCAGCAGGCGCGCAAAUUACCCAAUCCCAAUUCGGGGAGGUAGUGACAAUAAAUACUGAUACAGGGCUCUUUUGGGUCUUGUAAUCGGAAUGAGAACAAUUUAAAUCCCUUAACGAGGAACAAUUGGAGGGCAAGUCUGGUGCCAGCAGCCGCGGUAAUUCCAGCUCCAAUAGCGUAUAUUAAAGUUGUUGCAGUUAAAAAGCUCGUAGUUGAACCUUGGGCCUGGCUGGCCGGUCCGCCUCACCGCGUGCACUGGUCCGGCCGGGCCUUUCCCUCUGGGGAGCCGCAUGCCCUUCACUGGGCGUGUCGGGGAACCAGGACUUUUACUGUGAAAAAAUUAGAGUGUUCAAAGCAGGCCUAUGCUCGAAUACAUUAGCAUGGAAUAAUAGAAUAGGACGUGUGGUUCUAUUUUGUUGGUUUCUAGGACCGCCGUAAUGAUUAAUAGGGACAGUCGGGGGCGUCAGUAUUCAAUUGUCAGAGGUGAAAUUCUUGGAUUUAUUGAAGACUAACUGCUGCGAAAGCGUUCGCCAAGGAUGUUUUCAUUAAUCAGGAACGAAAGUUAGGGGAUCGAAGACGAUCAGAUACCGUCGUAGUCUUAACCAUAAACUAUGCCGACUCGGGAUCGGACGAUGUUAUUUUUUGACUCGUUCGGCACCGUAUACGAAAGUAAAGUUUCUGGGUUCUGGG